This 519-nucleotide ribosomal RNA is filed under the name Triticum aestivum (bread wheat). Its description in RNAcentral is "partial small subunit ribosomal RNA". The record is from RNAcentral. Lineage: Eukaryota; Viridiplantae; Streptophyta; Magnoliopsida; Poales; Poaceae.
AUGGCUAAACAAGAAAACUUCAAUGCUUAUGUUGGUAGACAAUUGAAAAAUAAUGCUUAUAUGAUUGGACACUUGAGUGAUUAUAUGUCUAGAGUUAAGAAUGAACUUAAACUUAUUAGUAAACAUGCUUCUAUGGUUACCACUCAAGUAGAACAAGUGCUUAAAGCUCAAAAUGAUUUGCUCAAUGAAUUAAAUGAUAAGAGAAAUGAUAAUGUCGUUAGAGUUAUGACUAGAGGGGGUAAAAUGACUCAGGAACCUUUGUAUCUUGAGGGACACCCUAAGAGGAUUGAGCAAGAUUCUCAUAGAAAUAAUGUUGAUGCACCUAGUCCUUCUAAGAAGAAGAAGAAAAAUGAUAGGACUUUGCAUGCUUCUAGUGAACCUGUUUUGACACACCUGAGAAUCCCAAUGAUAUUUUUAUUUCUGAUGCUGAAACACAAUCUGGUGAUGAACAUGAAACUAGUCAUAAUGUUAAUGAUAAUGUUCAUGUUGAUGCUCAACCUAGCAAUAACAAAGAUGUAG